UACGUAGGGUGCAGGCGUUAAUCGGAAUUACUGGGCGUAGAGCGUGCGCAGGCGGUUUGCUAAGACAGGUGUGAAAUCCCCGGGCUUAACCUGGGAACUGCGCUUGUAACUGGCAAGCUAGAGUGUGGCAGAGGGGGGUGGAAUUCCACGUGUAGCAGUGAAAUGCGUAGAGAUGUGGAGGAACACCGAUGGCGAAGGCAGCCCCCUGGGCUAACACUGACGCUCAUGCACGAAAGCGUGGGGAGCAAACAGG
Molecule: ribosomal RNA, 253 nt
Filed under: uncultured bacterium
Lineage: Bacteria
Description: partial 16S ribosomal RNA
Rfam family: Bacterial small subunit ribosomal RNA
Source: RNAcentral